This 2731-nucleotide long non-coding RNA is filed under the name Sus scrofa (pig). RNAcentral's name for it is "lncRNA (ENSSSCG00025008295.1)". Lineage: Eukaryota; Metazoa; Chordata; Mammalia; Artiodactyla; Suidae. The record is from RNAcentral.
UCUUUUGCGCGAGCCGAGGCUGUCCAGAGCGGCUGUGGAGGCUGGGAGUCCUGGACCGGGUCCCCUCUCAUGCCGCUGUUAGGAGCCGAGCAGGGACGGACAGUAACGAGGAUAGGCUCUCACCCUGCGGCGUUAUUACGAUCCAUGGUGUCCGUCGUGGGACGGGCCGCCUUGCGCGGAGGUGUCGGCCGGGGCUGCGCGCUUUCCGAGGCCUUCGUCCCGGCUCUCUGGCCUCGUCCGCCUCCGGAGGCGGCACCCUGAUCCUUGUGCGCGUUUCUACAAGGGGGAGACUGGGGCUGGGAGGGCGACAGUCAUCCUGAGGUCACCGCCCACUGUGCUUGUGGGGGUUCGGCUCUUCUCACAGAACCCGCUCCGUUCCCCGGCUCCUCAACCCGCUUCUGCUCACAGGAUCCCAUGGCGGCCGCUGGGCUCAUGGACCGGGCUCAGACGUGGCUGUACUUUUCUCCCAGGAGGAGUGGGGGCUCCUCGAUGAGGCUCAGAAAUGCCUGGACCACCACGUGAUGCUGGAGACCUUGGCGCUUCUGUCCUCACUGGGUUGUUGGCAUGGAGACCAGCCUGAGGAGCCACCCUCAGCGCAAGGCGUUUCUAGGGAGUGUCACCAUCUGGAAGACCCAGCCCUGUGAGACAUGUAGCUCACUCUUUUUUUUUUUUUUUUUUUUUUUUUUUUUUCGUCUUUUUGCCUUUUGAUGGCCGCUCCCAUGGCAUAUGGAGGUUUCCAAGCUAGGGGUCCAAUCGGAGCUGUAGCCACUGGCCUACGCCAGAUCCACAGCAACGUGGGAUCUGAGCCGAGUCUGCAACCUAUACCACAGCUCAUCUACACCACAGCUCACGGCAACACCGGAUCCUUAACCUACAGAGCAAGGCCAGGGAUCAAACCUGCCACCACAUGGUUCCUAGUUGGGUUCGUUAACCACUGAGCCACGACGGGAACUCCUGUAGCUCACUCUUGAAAGCCAUCAUGUUCCUGGCCGAGCAAGAUGGAACGCACUCUGGGCGAGGACUGUCCACUUGGGGGGCAAGACUUUACCAGCACCAAAAGUGCAACAUUAGAGAGAAACGUUCCAGAAAGGAACUGCGUUGUCCACAUGACAGAGGAGACCUUGGCCUGCAGGGAAGGUGGGAAGGACUUCCCAGCCAGCCCAGGCCCUCUCCAACAACAGACUCUUCACCCUGUGGGAAAGCCACGUGGGGACACCGCAGGUGGAGAGGCCUUUCACAACAGGCACUCAGUGUGGGAAAGCCUUCAGCCGUAACCAUAUACUGGUUGACCAUGAAGAGAUGCAUGCUGGAUGAAAGAUUUCUGAGAAGAGGGAAUGUGGGAAGGCCUUCCUUAGAAAGUCCCACCUCAGCCGGCCCCAGAAAAUCCACAGUGAAGCUAGGCUUUAUGGGCACUCAGAAUGUGGGGUGUUCUUUUUUUUUUUUUUUUUUUUUUUUUUUUUUUGUCUUUUUGCCAUUUCUUGGGCUGCUCCCACAGCAUAUGGAGGUCCUCAGGCUCGGGGUCGAAUCGGAGCUGUAGCUGCCAGCCUACACCAGAGCCACAGCAACACGGGAUCCGAGCCGCAUCUGUGACCUAUGCCACAGCUCACGGCAAUUCCGGAUCCUUAACCCACUGAGGGAUCGAACCCACAACCUCAUGGUUCCUACUCGGAUUUAUUUCUACUGCGCCACGACGGGAACUCCUGGGGGGUAUUCUUUACAGAAAUAUCUGGCCUUGAUGACCGCCAGAGAAUUCACACCCGGCCAAGGCCUCUUGAAUGCAGCCCGUGUGGGAAGGCCUUCCUUAGACUGUCCCAACUCCUGAGUCACCAGAAAACCCACACUGAAGAAAGACCUUAUGGUUGCAGUGAAUGUGGAAAAUUCUUCAGGAACCGUUCCACACUCACUAGACAUCAGAGAGUUCACACUGGGGAAAGGCCGUACAAGGGCAGUGACUGCAGGAAAGCUUUCACCCGCAAAUAUACACUUGCUGAGCAUCAGAAAAUCGACAGUGGUGAAAAGCCUUUUGAGUGCAGAGCAUGUGGGAAAGCUUUCAGCCGCAAAGACAAAAUUGUGGAGCACCAGAAAAUCCACACUGGAGCAAGGGCUUAGGAGUGUGGCGAAUGUGGGAAAUGCUUUAUGGACAACUCCUCACUCAUUAGUCAUCAGAGAGUCCACACUGGAGAAAGGCCUUAAGAGGGCGGCAAGUGUGGGAAAUUGUUUUGGUACCGCUUCAUGCUCAUUAGACAUCAGAGAACUCAUCCUGGAGAAAGGCCUGCUGCAGGCAUUGACGUAGGAAACUCUUACUGCAGCUCCAUAGUCAUUAGACGCUGGACACAUGCCGCUAGAGAAAUGCCUUAGGAGUGCAGCUGCUGUGGGAACUUUUAACAGUCCAACUCCAGCCUCAGCACACAGCAGCGAAUUCAUGUUGCUGCGAGGCCUUAUGAGAACAGCAAAUAUGGGAACAUCUUUAUAUACAACUCUGGCCUCUUUCAACAUUGUUGAGGUGACACUGGAGAAAUGCCUUCUAAGUGAAGUGAAUGCUGGAGAGUCUGUAGCUCCCAUUCAUUUGGCUCCAAAAAGUUCACACCAGGAAAAGGGCUUAGGAAGGAAGCACAUGGGGAAAGGACUUCAGCCAAAAGUCUGCUCUGAUGGACACUGUGAAGUACACGUUCUGUACUUUGGGGUUUUUUCCCCCUUCUUAUUGCGUUAAAAUACACAUACAGAAAAUUUG